Molecule: long non-coding RNA, 1258 nt
Filed under: Callithrix jacchus (white-tufted-ear marmoset)
Lineage: Eukaryota; Metazoa; Chordata; Mammalia; Primates; Cebidae
Description: lncRNA (ENSCJAG00000068462.2)
Source: RNAcentral
CUUCUUUUCCAUGCAGCCACACCCGUGCAGUACAUAAGUCGGAAGCAGAAGUGAAAAGGGGAAGAAAGUUGAAGGACUAAAAAUGAGAGGAGAGAGGGAGAGUGUGGGAGCAAGGCAGGGACCCACCCUAAAAGAGAUCGGAAUACAAGCGCAGCUUUAGUUCAUGGCCUGCCAAAUAGUCGUGCUGCGCCUCUGAAUGGAAAAUGGGAUAGAACAAUGAGCUGGAAUUUACAUCGCCUUUGAAAAGCAAAUGCUGACAGCAGGCGUUCUGAAUAUGCCAAGUAUUGCCUUCAGACCAGAGAAGGCUUUUCUGGCCCACACGAGCCCCGUGACAGCCUGCAGAAGGCAACACACCCUACAUAGCUGUGACCUCCAGCCCUCUGAGCCUUGAGCAUCUCUGGAGAAAAUGUGUGUGUUUAAAAAGGCCACAUCUGUUUCUAGAAGGCUGAAAACAAGAUCCAAGCUCUAUGUCCCCGGAAACUGACCUGUGGACUGCUUCAUGUGGGCUCAUUUGCCCUCUGCUUCUGGCUGGUUUGGCAAUGGAGACAGAGAGAGAUGAGAAGGUGGGCGGAGAGAAAGCUGCCUGUUAAGGACUUUGGCCCAUUUGAAAAAAUUGAACUGGGAAGGCCCGAGCCUCUCUGCCCUGGGAAGAAGGCAGUCUUGACAAGCCACAACUCCUUCACUGGUAGAAAACUCACUCAAGGCAUGUAUCCACACAGCAGUAAGUAAGGUGCAGCAUUCAGAAAGGUGAGAGGAAACAGGCUGGCUCACUAAUAUUCAAGGGAAGGGCUAUGCAAAAGCCCGCAGCUGUAAGAAACCAUCUUUGCAACCUGUGUGUCCCUGACUCAUUUCUUGUUCUUCCAAAUUUGAACAGCUCCUAGGUUGGUUACAGGAACUAGAAAUGACAUCAAGACUUAACUCUCAUUUAUUGGUAGAGGUGUGGCAGGGAUGUGGAUAGCCACUAGAGUGAGUGCUACCCAUGGAAGAAGAUGAACCAUCCUUAUUAAGCCCUCUAUGCACGGGGCAUUGGGGUGCGGCUAUGUGAGAAGAGAGGAAAAUAGCUCUCUAUAAUAUGGGUUGUUGAACAUUAUGGGCUUCCUUGGAAUGAGUUAAAUUUUCUUCUGCGGCUGACCAUAAUUCACCAUAGAGACUCCUCUCCUAGAUGUAUAUUUUUGAAAUUCCUAGAAACGCAGAGUUAAGUCCACCCUGGAACCUGUAAUGGGGUUCCUCCCUGAAUUAGCUCAGGCCCCAAGGGGAC